GUGGAUCGAGUACUUGAUUUCUUCAAAGGAUGCAUUCAGCUUGCUAAGGAGAUAGGAAUGUCACGGUUUUCAUGUUGUAGAAGCAAGAAUGUUCUGGGCUGGCUGAAUGAACUAGGUGGCCUAAAAUCAAGCAUAGCACCGGACUCAAAACACCCUGAUGGAACUCCUUAGAAAAGGAUUUACAAGAACCUGAGAUGAAGUGGCACUGUGUGUUUUUUAGGAUAUCUUCCAACCCUACCCAUGCGAAGGCCAUUAGCUGAAGAGCAUCUGCCCUGUAGUAUUCUUGUGUAGAAGUUAGAAAAAUAAACAUUUGAAGGUUGCUUAUUACAUUUGAAAGAA
This is a long non-coding RNA of Empidonax traillii (willow flycatcher), 339 nucleotides long. RefSeq lists it as uncharacterized. The record is from RefSeq and is a predicted model, not a curated record. Lineage: Eukaryota; Metazoa; Chordata; Aves; Passeriformes; Tyrannidae. The transcript is spliced from 2 exons.